AUUCAGCCAUCUGUGACAUCAUCAAAUGGCACCCUGAAGACUGUGUGGUGCUGCAGAAAAGGCUGGAGAAAGCAGACUGCAACCGAAACACCUGCCUGCGCUAAUCACCUCACCUCCUGCUAACAAGCAGAGCAACUUUGCAGGUUCAUUAGUGCUACUGCUCUUUAUAAUGCAUUCCGGCACCUAUCCUAAACAAAGGCCUGCAGACAAAUAUAAUCUCCUCGGGUUUGCAUCACCUCACUGAGAAGUAAUUCUAACCUACCUCUCUCUCGCUCUUGGGGGACACAGCAGGGGUUCUGCGGUUCAGGGGAUGGAGAGAACAGAGAAAGAGAGAAAGGCUGGAAGAACACGACCACUUACCGCUCUUACACACCGGGCAGCACCGCUCAGGCUCAUAUUCCGGAUCAACACACUCGGUCUGCGGGCAAGCUGACAGCGAACACAGAACCUCUCCACUGGGCUCACAACGGCACUUCUCACAUGGAGACACCUGGAAACACAGCCAGAUGAAAAACAAAACCUUCUGUAGCAACACUCAUCAUACUAUUGUGAUUGAUAUGAGGUUUAAUUAUCAGAGGAAUAACAAGAGCUCUGAUCUGAGGUGUGCUUCUUACUGGGAACUGAUGAGUGUUCGGUUUAAUUGAUGAGCACGCUCAUAUAGUCCUGCCAAUCAGAGCACUUGAGAGUAUAUUAAUAAUGCUUACCUAAUUCCUUCAGGCAAUUCCUCUGGCAUUGCUCAUCUCCCUUCCUUUCUUUCCAUAUUUAUGUCCAUAGGGAACUCUGAGUUGUACCUUACGCUCGAGCCCAUUCAUUAUGGAUGAAUAUAAAUACCUGUCUAUUUUAUUGAGUGAUUUUUCAACUACAGGCACUUUUAGGUCCCAAGGGUUGAUUUUCAUUAAAACUCCAACACCCCCCCCCCCUCCUUUUUUUUGUUAGACGGAGGUCAUAUUAAAACUAUCUUUUUAGCAUGCC
Carassius carassius (crucian carp) is the source of this 972-nucleotide long non-coding RNA. RefSeq lists it as uncharacterized. Lineage: Eukaryota; Metazoa; Chordata; Actinopteri; Cypriniformes; Cyprinidae. The record is from RefSeq and is a predicted model, not a curated record. The transcript is spliced from 3 exons.